RNAcentral lists this ribosomal RNA (434 nucleotides) under uncultured bacterium. Its description in RNAcentral is "partial 16S ribosomal RNA". It matches the Rfam family "Bacterial small subunit ribosomal RNA", at positions 29 to 507 of the family's 1533-position model. The record is from RNAcentral.
AGCGAACGCUGGCGGCAGGCCUAACACAUGCAAGUCGAACGAACCUUUCGGGGUUAGUGGCGGACGGGUGAGUAACACGUGGGAACGUGCCUUUAGGUUCGGAAUAACUCAGGGAAACUUGUGCUAAUACCGAAUGUGCCCUUCGGGGGAAAGAUUUAUCGCCUUUAGAGCGGCCCGCGUCUGAUUAGCUAGUUGGUUGAGGUAAUGGCUCACCAAGGCGACGAUCAGUAGCUGGUGUGAGAGGAUGAUCAGCCACAUUGGGACUGAGACACGGCCCAAACUCCUACGGGAGGCAGCAGUGGGGAAUCUUGCGCAAUGGGCGAAAGCCUGACGCAGCCAUGCCGCGUGAAUGAUGAAGGUCUUAGGAUUGUAAAAUUCUUUCACCGGGGACGAUAAUGACGGUACCCGGAGAAGAAGCCCCGGCUAACUUCGUG